UGCUCCGAUGGCUUAGUGGUUAGAGCGUCCGCCUCGGAUGCAGGAGGUCGUGGGUUCGAUCCCCAGUCGAGUAA
Molecule: non-coding RNA, 74 nt
Organism: Potamilus streckersoni
Lineage: Eukaryota; Metazoa; Mollusca; Bivalvia; Unionida; Unionidae
Source: the annotation of a GenBank genome assembly